This 469-nucleotide ribosomal RNA is filed under the name uncultured bacterium. Its description in RNAcentral is "partial 16S ribosomal RNA". It matches the Rfam family "Bacterial small subunit ribosomal RNA", at positions 28 to 507 of the family's 1533-position model. The record is from RNAcentral.
GACGAACGCUGGCGGCGUGCUUAACACAUGCAAGUCGAACGGAAAGGCCCUGCUUGCAGGGUGCUCGAGUGGCGGACGGGUGAGUAACACGUGGGUGAUCUGCCCCUUACUUUGGGAUAAGCCUGGGAAACUGGGUCUAAUACUGGAUAGGACCAUGCUGUAGGUGGUGUGGUGGAAAGAUUAGUUUCGGUAAGGGAUGAGCUCGCGGCCUAUCAGCUUGUUGGUGGGGUAAUGGCCUACCAAGGCGUCGACGGGUAGCCGGCCUGAGAGGGUGGACGGCCACAUUGGGACUGAGAUACGGCCCAGACUCCUACGGGAGGCAGCAGUGGGGAAUAGUGCACAAUGGGCGCAAGCCUGAUGCAGCGACGCCGCGUGGGGGAUGACGGCCUUCGGGUUGUAAACUCCUUUCAGCCAUGACGAAGCCCUUGUGGUGACGGUAGUGGUAGAAGAAGCACCGGCUAACUACGUG